GACGAACGCUGGCGGCGUGCUUAACACAUGCAAGUCGAACGAUGAAGCGGGUGCUUGCACUCGUGGAUUAGUGGCGAACGGGCGAGUAACACGUGAGUAACCUGUCCUUUUCUUUGGGAUAACGGCUGGAAACGGCUGCUAAUACUGGAUAUUCAGGCUGCAUCGCAUGGUGUGGUUUGGAAAGGUUUUUUCUGGGAUUGGGUGGGCUCGCGGCCUAUCAGCUUGUUGGUGGGGUGAUGGCUUACCAAGGCUUUGACGGGUAGCCGGCCUGAGCGGGUGGUCGGUCGCACUGGGACUGAGAUACGGCCCAGACUACUACGGGAGGCAGCAGUGGGGAAUAUUGCACAAUGGACGAAAGUUUGAUGCAGCGACGCCGCGUGGAGGGUGUAGGCCUUCGGGUUGUGAACUCCUUUUUCUCGCGAAAAAGGCACAGUUUUGGCUGUGUUGAUGGUAGUGGGGGAAGAAGCGCCGGCUAACUACGUG
Molecule: ribosomal RNA, 483 nt
Filed under: uncultured bacterium
Lineage: Bacteria
Description: partial 16S ribosomal RNA
Rfam family: Bacterial small subunit ribosomal RNA
Source: RNAcentral